RNAcentral lists this ribosomal RNA (488 nucleotides) under uncultured bacterium. RNAcentral's name for it is "partial 16S ribosomal RNA". It matches the Rfam family "Bacterial small subunit ribosomal RNA", at positions 28 to 507 of the family's 1533-position model. The record is from RNAcentral.
GAUGAACGCUAGCGGCAGGCUUAACACAUGCAAGUCGAGGGGCAGCAUAAUGGAUAGCAAUAUCUAUGGUGGCGACCGGCGCACGGGUGCGUAACGCGUAUGCAACCUACCUUUAACAGGGGGAUAACACUGAGAAAUUGGUACUAAUACCCCAUAAUAUCAUAGAAGGCAUCUUUUAUGGUUGAAAAUUCCGAUGGUUAGAGAUGGGCAUGCGUUGUAUUAGCUAGUUGGUGGGGUAACGGCUCACCAAGGCGACGAUACAUAGGGGGACUGAGAGGUUAACCCCCCACACUGGUACUGAGACACGGACCAGACUCCUACGGGAGGCAGCAGUGAGGAAUAUUGGUCAAUGGACGCAAGUCUGAACCAGCCAUGCCGCGUGCAGGAUGACGGCUCUAUGAGUUGUAAACUGCUUUUGUACGAGGGUAGACGCAGAUACGUGUAUCUGUCUGAAAGUAUCGUACGAAUAAGGAUCGGCUAACUCCGUG